Molecule: ribosomal RNA, 235 nt
Filed under: uncultured bacterium
Lineage: Bacteria
Description: partial 16S ribosomal RNA
Rfam family: Bacterial small subunit ribosomal RNA
Source: RNAcentral
UGAGCAAUCUGCCCUUCUCAUCGGAAUAAGCGUUGGAAACGACGUCUAAUGCCGAAUACGACCUCCUUUCGCAUGAUCGGAGGUGGAAAGCUCCGGCGGAGAAGGAUGAGCUCGCGGCCUAUCAGCUAGUUGGUGUGGGUAAUGGCCCACCAAGGCGACGACGGGUAGCCGGCCUGAGAGGGUCGACCGGCCACACGUGGGGCUGAGACACCGGCCCAGACUCCGUACGGGAGCA